GACGAACGCUGGCGGCGUGCUUAACACAUGCAAGUCGAACGGAAAGGCCCUGCUUUUGUGGGGUGCUCGAGUGGCGAACGGGUGAGUAACACGUGAGUAACCUGCCCUUGACUUUGGGAUAACUUCAGGAAACUGGGGCUAAUACCGGAUAGGAGCUCCUGCUGCAUGGUGGGGGUUGGAAAGUUUCGGCGGUUGGGGAUGGACUCGCGGCUUAUCAGCUUGUUGGUGGGGUAGUGGCUUACCAAGGCUUUGACGGGUAGCCGGCCUGAGAGGGUGACCGGCCACAUUGGGACUGAGAGACGGCCCAGACUCCGACGGGAGGCAGCAGUGGGGAAUAUUGCACAAUGGGCGGAAGCCUGAGGCAGCAACGCCGCGUGCGGGAGGACGGCCUUCGGGUUGUAAACCGCUUUCGCCUGUGACGAAGCGUGAGUGACGGUAAUGGGUAAAGAAGCACCGGCUAACUACGU
Molecule: ribosomal RNA, 467 nt
Filed under: uncultured bacterium
Lineage: Bacteria
Description: partial 16S ribosomal RNA
Rfam family: Bacterial small subunit ribosomal RNA
Source: RNAcentral